Molecule: ribosomal RNA, 425 nt
Filed under: uncultured bacterium
Lineage: Bacteria
Description: partial 16S ribosomal RNA
Rfam family: Bacterial small subunit ribosomal RNA
Source: RNAcentral
GUGGGGAAUAUUGGACAAUGGGGGCAACCCUGAUCCAGCAAUGCCGCGUGUGUGAAGAAGGUCUUCGGAUCGUAAAGCACUUUCGACGGGGACGAUGAUGACGGUACCCGUAGAAGAAGCCCCGGCUAACUUCGUGCCAGCAGCCGCGGUAAUACGAAGGGGGCUAGCGUUGCUCGGAAUUACUGGGCGUAAAGGGCGCGUAGGCGGCUCUGUUAGUCAGGCGUGAAAUUCCUGGGCUUAACCGGGGGACUGCGCUUGAUACUGCGGAGCUUGAGGCCGAGGGAGGGGGGUGGAAUUCGCAGUGUAGAGGUGAAAUUCGUAGAUAUUGGGAAGAACGCCGGUGGCGAAGGCGACCACCUGGCUCGGUACUGACGCUGAGGCGCGACAGCGUGGGGAGCAAACAGGAUUAGAUACCCGGGUAGUCC